AGACACACACAUUCUCUGAUGCACUCGCAAAUUAUUGUUAUAUGUUUUAGUUUAAUUCAGAUCCAUGCAGCCUCUCUACCUUUGGAAGUGCUGCAAUGGAUCCUUUCCCUGGGGUCCAGUGCAGCUGCUGUGAUACUGUAAUCUUUAAGAUCUUCUUGCUCUGCUCCUUUGCUGCCUACAGGGUGUGCAAAGGAGCAGAGAAGGAGAGCAGGAAGAUCUUGCUGCACACUUCCAUUCUGCACAAUCACCCACUCUGAGGGGCAAUAAGGUAGCAAGUGCUGAACGGGCUGACAAAUCCCAGGCACCAG
Molecule: non-coding RNA, 308 nt
Organism: Pelobates cultripes (western spadefoot toad)
Lineage: Eukaryota; Metazoa; Chordata; Amphibia; Anura; Pelobatidae
Source: the annotation of a GenBank genome assembly